RNAcentral lists this ribosomal RNA (406 nucleotides) under uncultured bacterium. RNAcentral's name for it is "partial 16S ribosomal RNA". It matches the Rfam family "Bacterial small subunit ribosomal RNA", at positions 29 to 526 of the family's 1533-position model. The record is from RNAcentral.
AUUGAACGCUGGCGGCAGGCCUAACACAUGCAAGUCGAACGAGUGGCGGACGGGUGAGUAAUGUCUGGGAAACUGCCUGAUGGCGGGGGAUAACUACUGGAAACGGUAGCUAAUAACGCAUACCAUCGGAUGUGCCCAGAUGGGAUUAGCUUUUUGGUGGGGUAACGGCUCACCAAGGCGACGAUCCCUAGCUGGGCUGAGAGGAUGACCAGCCACACUGGAACAGAGACACGGUCCAGAGGCCUAGGGGAGGCAGCAGGGGGGAAUAUGGCACAAUGGGCGCAAGCCUGAUGCAGCCGUGCCGCGUGUAUGAAGAAGGCCUGCGGGUUGUAAAGUACUUUCAGCGGGGAGGCGUUACCCGCAGAAGAAGCACCGGCUAACUCCGUGCCAGCAGCCGCGGUAAUAC